RNAcentral lists this ribosomal RNA (301 nucleotides) under uncultured bacterium. Its description in RNAcentral is "partial 16S ribosomal RNA". It matches the Rfam family "Bacterial small subunit ribosomal RNA", at positions 509 to 807 of the family's 1533-position model. The record is from RNAcentral.
CAGUCGCCACGGUAAUACAGAGGGUGCAAGCGUUAAUCGGAAUUACUGGGCGUAAAGCGCGCGUAGGUGGUUUGUUAAGUUGGAUGUGAAAUCCCCGGGCUUAACCUGGGAACUGCAUCCAAAACUGGCAAGCUAGAGUAUGGUAGAGGGUGGUGGAAUUUCCUGUGUAGCGGUGAAAUGCGUAGAUAUAGGAAGGAACACCAGUGGCGAAGGCGACCACCUGGACUGAUACUGACACUGAGGUGCGAAAGCGUGGGGAGCAAACAGGAUUAGAUACCCCAGUAGUCCCUGUCUCUUAUAC